Molecule: ribosomal RNA, 511 nt
Filed under: uncultured bacterium
Lineage: Bacteria
Description: bacterial SSU rRNA
Rfam family: Bacterial small subunit ribosomal RNA
Source: RNAcentral
AGAGUUUGAUUAUGGCUCAGGAUGAACGCUAGCGGCAGGCUUAACACAUGCAAGUCGGGCGGCAGCGGGGUGGGAGCUUGCUCCCACUGCCGGCGAGCGGCGCACGGGUGAGUAACACGUAUGCAACCUGCCCCUGUCAGGGGGACAACCCGCCGAAAGGCGGGCUAAGCCCGCGUAUAUCGCCCCGGGGCAUCCCGGGGGGAGGAAAGGAGCGAUCCGGACAGGGAUGGGCAUGCGGCGCAUUAGCUGGUCGGCGGGGUAACGGCUCACCGAGGCGACGAUGCGUAGGGGUUCUGAGAGGAAGGCCCCCCACACUGGUACUGAGACACGGACCAGACUCCUACGGGAGGCAGCAGUGAGGAAUAUCCCUCAAUGGGCGGGAGCCUGAACCAGCCAAGCCGCGUGAGGGAAGAAGGUACAGCGUAUCGUAAACCUCUUUUGUCAAGGAACAAAGGCGGGGACUAGUCCCCGGAUGAGGGUACCUGAAGAAAAAGCAUCGGCUAACUCCGUG